Molecule: long non-coding RNA, 3717 nt
Organism: Cornus florida
Lineage: Eukaryota; Viridiplantae; Streptophyta; Magnoliopsida; Cornales; Cornaceae
Exons: 2
Source: RefSeq, a predicted model, not a curated record
UCUUCUCAUUGUGAAAUCUCUAUUCGUCUCUCUAUCUAGUGUGAAACUCUAGACCAUAGAACGUACCUACCCGUCAACACUCUUCUUCGCCAUUGUGGAACCCUACAAGAAAAUUUGAAGGUAUAAUCUCUAUAUACUUGUAUAUAUCUGUGUGUGUGUAUAUAUAUAUAUCUAACUCUUAAAGGUUUUGAUUUCAUUUGCAUUCAGAUUCGUUGUUGGUAUCCAGAUUUCAUCCAUUGGAACUCAGAAUACCAUAGUUAUUUCAGUCUCGGACUCAGUUCCCCUCCAUUCUCUCUUCUGUUUUGGGUACCAGUUUCUCAUCUCUCUCUAUACAUCCCAUUUUUUGAGAUAUAUAUACAUAUAUUUAUGUAUGGGAGAUAUAUAUACAUAUAUUUCUGUUUAGAAGAAUUAAUCUUUUAUUAAUUCUUAUACACUCUAUUGCUAAGCACUCAUUAAGUUUGGGAGAAUAGUCUCUCUUUAAACAUGAGUUCAUAGUUAGUUUUGGUUCAACUCAUUUCAUGAUUGUUAGUGCCUGCAAGCAUCAAGUUUAGUCCUAGAUUAGUUCCCAAUUCCUGUAAUUUCCUUGUGUGUUGAGUCUGUAAGAUUUGGGAUUGUGAGAUAUAAAAAUAUGUAUCAGCAAUAUCGGUCAGAGUCUGACCAAUAUCAGAUUUAAUUGCUUUGGGAUUGAGAAUCCCACACACUCUUGAACCCAAAAUCUUAUAAAAUUCUGGUUAUGUUUAUGUCCUUCAUAUUCCUUAGUAAAAGGGUUUUUUUUUUUUGGAAAUCAAAGCUAGGAUAUCCUUCAACUGAUAAAGAAUCAAGGUUACAAAGGUUAACAAGCCAACUGGGCUUGUGAGACACUCUGAAACACUUGAUUUGCAAUUGAGAACCCAUUUGCCAAGAGCAUGGGCAGUGCUAUUACAACCUCUAGGAGUCCAAACAAGGCUAACGGCUGUGUUCUGCAGCAAAAAUCCGAUGUCCGUAGCAAAAGGGUUGAAAUAGUUGCAUUUAUGUUUUUUUAAGUUUCACUUUUUGUAGACAAAGGCCUUUACACUGUUACACACAUACAUGUGAGUUUAUAUAUAGAUAGAAAUCUACGUUAAAAAUUUUACUUUCGAUUUGAGCUUAGGUUAGAAAAAUCAAGCAAAAAAUAAAGUUAAUCUCUGUUUAAUUUUGGAUUAGAUUACUCCAAAACAUAAAAAUUCCAAAAACUUAGGCUCUGUAUGUUUGCGAGUAAAAUAUUUUUUUGAAAUUAUUUUUAUUUUUAUUUUUUUGGUGUUUGGUUGACCCAAAAUCGAUUUAAAUUUUUUACCUAGUAAAAUAUUUUAUCAAUAGGUUACAAAAACAACUUGUGUCUGCAUUUUGGGGAAGUUAUUUUACAGACUCAACCCGAUUGAAUUGUAUCAUUGAGCUCAGCCUCCACCACAGGCCCCGACGACCUCAACCUCCUUCGCCCCCCCCCCCCCCCCCCUUCUCAUUGUGAAAUCUCUAUUCGUCUCUCUAUCUAGUGUGAAACUCUAGACCAUAGAACGUACCUACACGUCAACACUCUUCUUCGCCAUUGUGGAACCCUACAAGAAAAUUUGAAGAUUUGUUGUUGGUAUCCAGAUUUCAUCCAUUGGAACUCAGAAUACCAUAGUUAUUUCAGUCUCGGACUCAGUUCCCCUCCAUUCUCUCUUCUGUUUUGGGUACCAGUUUCUCAUCUCUCUCUAUACAUCCCAUUUUUUGAGAUAUAUAUACAUAUAUUUAUGUAUGGGAGAUAUAUAUACAUAUAUUUCUGUUUAGAAGAAUUAAUCUUUUAUUAAUUCUUAUACACUCUAUUGCUAAGCACUCAUUAAGUUUGGGAGAAUAGUCUCUCUUUAAACAUGAGUUCAUAGUUAGUUUUGGUUCAACUCAUUUCAUGAUUGUUAGUGCCUGCAAGCAUCAAGUUGUGUCCUAGAUUAGUUCCCAAUUCCUGUAAUUUCCUUGUGUGUUGAGCCUGUAAGAUUUGGGAUUGUGAGAUAUAAAAAUAUGUAUCAGCAAUAUCGGUCAGAGUCUGACCAAUAUCAGAUUUAAUUGCUUUGGGAUUGAGAAUCCCACACACUCUUGAACCCGAAAUCUUAUAAAAUUCUGGUUAUGUUUAUGUCUUUCAUAUUCCUUAGUAAAAGGGUUUUUUUUUUUUUGGAAAUCAAAGCUAGGAUAUCGUUCAACUGAUAAAGAAUCAAGGUUACAAAGGUUAACAAGCCAACUGGGCUUGUGAGACCACUCUGAAACACUUGAUUUGCAAUUGAGAACCCAUUUUCCAGGAGUAUGGGCAGAGCUAUUACAACCUCUAGGAGUCCAAGCAAGGCUAACGGCUGUGUUCUGCAGCAAAAGGGUUCAAAUAGUUGCAUUUAUAUUUUUUUAAGUUUCAUUUUUUACGAAAUGCAAAAUUAAUUGAACCAUUGGCAACUAGUUUGAAUUGAUUAUCCAACAAAUUCUAAUGUUGUAUCCUUGUUAACAGUUUCUAUCCUUGUUAACAGUUUUGUAGUAUUCUUUUUUCUAUGUAAUUUAUGUUCAGAAUACUUACCAUAAAACAGAUUUAGAAUCUAAAUAAAACACUUGGCAAUGAGUUCUUUUAAAUAGUUUUGCACCCAUUGUAUGGACUGUUUCAUUCAAUGUCGUAGCAUUUUGGGAUCUCCUUGUGCUUUUCUUGAUAGUAAACAAUGGACUGCUCAUAUCAAUAAUUCUUCACAUGUUACACCUAUGCUUAGUUUUACUGAAAGCAUCUUUAUAGACUUAGAUGUCUUGUAUCAUUUGGGCUUUAAACUUUGUUGAUUCAUUUGACCUAUAGGCUCGAUAAAAUCACAAGCAAAGAAAGCAUAAUUUCGAGCUUCUCUUUAAUUUACUGUUCUUUCAUCAAUGUCUGCUCCAUGUGUACUAUAUAUUCAUUUGUGAACUGUUACUUGUUGCCUGUUUAGUGAGCUGUACAGUAACUAACUUGGACUUGUAUGUGAUAAUCUGAUUAACUUCAUAACAUGAACUUAUUUAAUGGACUGUUAGUUCUGAAUUAUAUCUAUUCUUUUGGUUGCCAAUGUUAACUUUGGGUUGUUUCUUAGAGUAUAAUCGUGGAUGAGAAAUUAAUCAUAACGAUUUAACAUUUAAUUUGUAGGUAAAUGCGACAUUCAAAAUUGAUUUAUUCCCCCAUAUCGUGGCGUUUGAUGUCAUUUGAAAGAAUAUAGUAACCGUCCUCCGGAAAAUGAAAGAGAGUUGCUCAAUCUUCGACACUCUUCUUUACGGACCUCCAUUGAACGUGAUUUUGGUGGAGUAAAGAAACAUUUCCGUGUGUUUGAUGCCGAGCCUUUUUGGGACCAUCCAACCCAAGUUAAUGUGGUACUAGCAUGGUGUUUCUUACACAACCACAUAAUGGAAGUUGAUCCAAAUGACGGGAUUAUGCAAUACACCAACGAUGAGUGUCAAACCCCAACAAACACAAAGAGAAGAGUAGAGAGGGCAGGAAGUGAGGAGUAGGUACUUGUAUCUAUAGGUAUCGGUGUUUAAUAGGUUGAUAUAGGAUGAUUUUUUAUAAGUAGUUUUAUGUUAAUUUGAAUUUCUGGGUGUGUUUGUUGUAUAUAGGAAUUUUGGUGGUGCAUGUUUGGAAUGCUUUGAUACUUGGCUUGAUUUAUUUUAUUUUAUUUAUUUGAAUAAAAUAAAUCUAGCUCUCAAUCUAUUUAAAAAAAUGUAUUUAGUUGAAUGUGA